CUACGGGAGGCAGCAGUAAGGGAUAUUGCGACAAUGGGCGAAAGCCUGACGCAGCAACGCCGCGUGCGGGAGGACGGCCUUCGGGUUGUAAACCGCUUUUCGGGGGGAAGAGGAAGGACGGUACCCCCGGAAUAAGUCUCGGCUAACUACGUGCCAGCAGCCGCGGUAAAACGUAGGAGGCGAGCGUUAUCCGGAUUUACUGGGUGUAAAGCGCGUGCAGGCGGUUCAGCAAGUCGUGCGUGAAAGCGCCCGGCUCAACCGGGCGAGGUCGUGCGAAACUGCUGAACUAGAGGUAGGUAGAGGCGUGUGGAAUUCCGGGUGUAGUGGUGAAAUGCGUAGAGAUCCGGAGGAACACCAGUGGCGAAGGCGACACGCUGGGCCUGACCUGACGCUCAGACGCGAAAGCAUGGGGAGCGAACGGGAUUAGAAACCCGUGUAGUCC
Molecule: ribosomal RNA, 442 nt
Filed under: uncultured bacterium
Lineage: Bacteria
Description: bacterial SSU rRNA
Rfam family: Bacterial small subunit ribosomal RNA
Source: RNAcentral